UCGAGGGAGUGUUAGUUAGUGGUGACGCACGACGCCACGGGGUAUUAUUUAGCCUGCAGAGGUGCUUCUCUACACAUGAAAUCGAAUGCAGGUACCAGACCAGUCAUCACGACGUUGAUAACAUAACAUGUGGUGCCCAGUUUGGCCGAUCACAGUAUCACGGUGUGUAUAUAUAUAUAUAUAAUGAAGCUCCCACUCUGAUUCGUAGCCAGCCUCUUGAAUCUACAGGCUUACUGCAUCGGGGA
Molecule: long non-coding RNA, 245 nt
Filed under: Hordeum vulgare
Lineage: Eukaryota; Viridiplantae; Streptophyta; Magnoliopsida; Poales; Poaceae
Description: long non-coding RNA (HVUL_LNC005126)
Source: RNAcentral